AUAGGCUGUCAGUUGAUGGCAGAGUCCUCCCAUGCCAAAGGGAUGAGAGUCCAGGUCUGUCUUUGCGUAGAUCAGGCAGACAGCAUAGUCCCUACUUUGCAUGUGGGGAGGGGGCAGGGGGGAGAUCUUCUGGUAUCGUGGCCUCUGUCUGAUCCACUGAAGAGCAGUGUCAAUUCGUAUCAGGUGGGGCCCCAGGUGUCAGCAGCGGCUCUGUCUUCUGCCUGGUUGUUGUUGAGCUUCCUAUCACAGUGGAACACCGGCAGCCAGAACUUCUAUUUGGGGAGAGGGACAAGUUUGACCGUCAUUCCAAAUAUCCAGAACCCCGACCCUGCUGUGUACCAGCUGAGAAGCCCCAAAUCCAGCAACACCUCCGUCUGCUUAUACACCGAUUUUGAAUCUCAGGCCAAUGUGUCACAAGUCACGAGGCCCGUGGUGUUCAGCUCAGACAGCACCGUGCUAGACAUGGGAGCCUUGGGUUCCAAGAGCAACGGGGUCGUGGCUUGGAGCAGCAGGACCGAUUUGGGAUGCACAGACACCUUCAACCAGACCUUCUACCCCAACUUAGGAAUUCCCUGUGAUGCCAAGAUAGCAGAGAAAAGCUUUGAAACAGAUAUGAACCUAAACUUCCAAAACUUGUCAGUGAUUGGCUUCCGCGUCCUCCUCCUGAAAGUGGUCGGGUACAACCUGCUCAUGACGCUGCGGCUGUGGUCCAGCUGAGGUCUCCAAGAACGUGAGAGCCCCGUGCUCCCUCUCCCCUUGUUCCUUGUCGCCCCUCCUCUCCCUCUUCAAGCAGAGAGGUGCACUCUGCCCCUGUGGACAAGAAGGCUCCCUCCACCUCUCUGGCCCCACUGGCAAUACCACCAACUGGGUCCUACCAGAUAUUCGUGAUCAAGACGCUGAAGAGCUGCCCAGCACUGCUGCCACCCCCUCUGCUCCCUCACUGCUGCCUGUCACUGCCUGGCAUUCUCAGCAAAGACGGAGGCCACUGCAGCCUCUCCUGGCUGUGGGGAAACUCCCUCCCCGCCCCACCCCUCCCCGAGACUGCCUCUGAUGUCCCACUGAAGGAUGGAUCCCAGUGGGUUCUCUUGGGCUCUAGCUCCUGGAGAUGUUGUGUGCUGUUUAUAUUUUUUACACGGUGUUCAUAAAGAAAUACAUACCACCCUUUUCCCCAAGAUGUGGGGGAGAUUAUCUCAUGAUCUAGGCCCUGCUCUGCUUGUGUAUCUGAGCCACGUUGUAUAUCCUGCUGCCGUGCCUUCAUUAAAAGCAAUUUGGAAGAGCA
Non-coding RNA from Delphinapterus leucas (beluga whale), 1279 nucleotides. The record is from the annotation of a RefSeq genome assembly. Lineage: Eukaryota; Metazoa; Chordata; Mammalia; Artiodactyla; Monodontidae.